Molecule: ribosomal RNA, 154 nt
Filed under: Chromelosporium sp. TKPB-2017
Lineage: Eukaryota; Fungi; Ascomycota; Pezizomycetes; Pezizales; Pezizaceae
Also listed under: 2 other names
Description: 5.8S ribosomal RNA
Rfam family: 5.8S ribosomal RNA
About the family: 5.8S ribosomal RNA (5.8S rRNA) is a component of the large subunit of the eukaryotic ribosome.
Source: RNAcentral
AACUUUCAACAACGGAUCUCUAGGCUCUUGCAUCGAUGAAGAACGCAGUGAAAUGCGAUAAGUAAUGUGAAUUGCAGAAUCUCGUGAAUCAUCGAAUCUUUGAACGCACAUUGCGCCCUAUGGUAUUCCGUAGGGCAUGCCUGUCUGAGCGUCA